CCCACCCACUUUCCUCCGAGCGGACGGAGCCGAGGGGGCGGGGGCUCCCUCCCGGGAGUGUUUCUAGAGCUCCGAGGCAGCUAGUAGGGGUUUCAUUGUCCGCAUGUUUAAAGUCUAAGAGAAAAAAAAAAAUCUCUGGAUAUGAAGUUGGGAGAUAGAUCCAAGUCUACAUCUACGUCCUCAUGUUGGUGACCUUGGGGCACCACUUUCAGAUAAAAACAUAGACCUGAAUGGCAUCAUCCAGUAUCCAAGGAAACCAUGUAAGUACCUCUCUCACUGUGUACUUCUCUUAUUCAGGGUUUAAAAGCUAGCUGAGUACUGAAUAAGUGAGUGUUUUUAUUUAAUAAUUAUACGGGAGGUACUUUUUAGGAGCUUGCUAAAAAGAAACAGGUUCUUGAUUGUUAUGUGCGUCAUAACAAAACCCUUAUGUUUUUCAUCAUGUUUCAUAAAAUUGUGUGUUUAGUCGCAAUCUCUCCAUCAAUUCUCAUUCUUAGGUACAAAACAGCUACUCAAAAGUCAUAAUGAAUUGAGAGUUUCAAACUUUUCCAAGACCCAUUAGUGUCUGAGAAACAAUGUUUCAGAGGCCUUGUGCCAGGAGUAGUGACCUAAUUGUAAUAAACACUUUUUAAAUUUUACAAAUUAAGAAAAAACUGAUUGGAAAAUAGUAGUUUAUUGGUAAACAUUUAUAACAGUUGAUUCGGUUUUAGACUUCCUUAGGGAGCGAGCAACUGAGCAAAAAGGUGAAGUUACAGAUUUAAACAAUGUAAAGAAUCCUGACAACAAGUGUAAUUUUUAAGAUGUGAAAAAUCUGUUUGCAGAAAGGGUUGGAAAGUUGGCAUAUUGUGUUCUUUAUUUUUGUUUCCCCUAACUCAUUAGUUUGUAGCUAAUUUCUGUAGCUAAUUUUAGCAUUCUAAUUAAUUUUCAGAACCAUGGAAUCUACUGAAUCUACUGUAGAAAUUGUUUCCAAACAACACACUAUUCUGGACAAAGAUCCACUUUAUAAAUAUUUGGAAUAUUCUACUAAGUAUUUCUUUACUUGGACUUUAUUAUUUUUUUUCUUAUUUGCACUCUGUACUUUUAAAGUCAAAUUAUUUUCAAUACUAAAUAAUUAUUCAUUUUCAUUUACCUUUGUGAAAAUACUUAAAACUCUAUACUUAUGUAAUUAUUGACUG
Long non-coding RNA from Panthera uncia (snow leopard), 1172 nucleotides. RefSeq lists it as uncharacterized. Lineage: Eukaryota; Metazoa; Chordata; Mammalia; Carnivora; Felidae. The record is from RefSeq and is a predicted model, not a curated record. The transcript is spliced from 3 exons.